Molecule: ribosomal RNA, 408 nt
Filed under: uncultured Diversispora
Lineage: Eukaryota; Fungi; Glomeromycota; Glomeromycetes; Diversisporales; Diversisporaceae
Description: partial 28S ribosomal RNA
Source: RNAcentral
GAGAGUUAAAUAGUACGUGAAAUUGUUGAAAGGGAAACGAUUGAAGUCAGUCAUGCUAGUGAAAAUUCAGUUUGGUGGGUUUUGGGUUCAGGAGUUGAGGCAGGGUCAAACCGUUUCUCUUUUGAACUUGGAAUUUGUCAGAUGCACUUUUUCUUUGGCAGGUCAGCGUCGAUUUCGGAGGUUGUAAAAUACUUGGGGAAAAGUAGCUCUGCUUCGGGAGAGUGUUAUAGACCUUGGGUGAUGCGGCCUGCGGGAUCGAGGAUUGCAGCAAAUGCUUUUGGCUUGUCGCCUGAUCUUUGGACGUCACCUCGCUUGUAUCAACAUUCUUGGUACCGGUGAGUAAUGGUGCUUAUGGGUUAGAGCGAUCAAAAAUUUUGCUAAGGAUGCUGACGUAAUGGCUUUAAACGA